CUAAAGAUGGACCCUGCUCGCUCAAUCUCUAGUUUUAUUACCUCUGCUUAAAAAUUACAUUCCUAUCAGCCUUCAUGGAGCCAUACAUUUGUUCUUACAACCUGCGUGACAUCUCUGCUCCAAAGAGUUCAAAUGUUGUCCCAUAUAGGCAGAACAUUUAUUGACUUUAAUUUAGGAUGCCAGGAGUGAUAGUAAACCGACAGGAAGUGGGAGAAAAACUGUUAAAAAACUCUCACAACAAUGAAAGCCAGUUUGCCACAUUAAUAUUUAUCUUAUCAGUGGUUUCCUUGCUGCUUCCCAAGGUCUCUAGUCCACUAUUAAAGUUUGCCUAUU
Long non-coding RNA from Cercocebus atys (sooty mangabey), 333 nucleotides. RefSeq lists it as uncharacterized. NCBI's taxonomy places the organism in Eukaryota, Metazoa, Chordata, Mammalia, Primates, Cercopithecidae. The transcript is spliced from 2 exons. The record is from RefSeq and is a predicted model, not a curated record.